ACCACUGCGGACUAUAAUUGAUGA
Molecule: non-coding RNA, 24 nt
Filed under: Arabidopsis thaliana (thale cress)
Lineage: Eukaryota; Viridiplantae; Streptophyta; Magnoliopsida; Brassicales; Brassicaceae
Source: RNAcentral